UCUUUCUCUUCGUGGUCUCUUGGUGGAUUGCCUGUGAUGCAUGUCACAUUCCUGUUUAAUGCUUACUCAAUAACAAAACAUGUUUUUUUCUUUACUA
Molecule: non-coding RNA, 97 nt
Organism: Ceratotherium simum simum (southern white rhinoceros)
Lineage: Eukaryota; Metazoa; Chordata; Mammalia; Perissodactyla; Rhinocerotidae
Source: RefSeq, a predicted model, not a curated record